This 253-nucleotide ribosomal RNA is filed under the name uncultured bacterium. Its description in RNAcentral is "partial 16S ribosomal RNA". It matches the Rfam family "Bacterial small subunit ribosomal RNA", at positions 524 to 776 of the family's 1533-position model. The record is from RNAcentral.
UACGUAGGGGGCAAGCGUUGUCCGGAUUUAUUGGGCUUAAAGGGUGCGUAGGCGGCCCUGUAAGUCAGUGGUGAAAUACUCUAGCUUAACUAGAGGGGUGCCAAUGAUACUGCAGGGCUUGAGUACAGAUGAGGUAGGCGGAAUUGACGGUGUAGCGGUGAAAUGCAUAGAUAUCGUCAAGAACACCUAUAGCGAAGGCAGCUUACUGGGCUGUAACUGACGCUGAGGCACGAAAGUGUGGGGAGCAAACAGG